GUACCCUUCCUUGUUUCAGACUGAAUGUGUGCUCCUUUGUUCUGCUUAAGUAUGGAUGUCAAUGACCCUCGGGCACACACCCCCAUUUCAGAAUGUCACAUUCGGUGGGGGAGAGGGUUCUUCUGCUGUGGCACUAGAUGGGUGCUCUUUGGCCAUAGGCUGGGGGUGAGGGACAUCCUUGAGCCAUGAGGGACCUAUGCACACUACUGGGGCUGACCUUGAUGUCUCUUCUCAUGAGAAUAAAAACACUGUUCUAUCCCAUGCUUGACCGUGUUCCAUGGAUCUGCUGGUCAUCCUGGGAGCCUUUCCUCACCCUCCAGACUAGUAUUGGGCCCCACUAUAUAUGAAACCAUAGGAAAACUCCUGUUUCUUUGAUAG
This 378-nucleotide long non-coding RNA is filed under the name Bos taurus (domestic cattle). RNAcentral's name for it is "long non-coding RNA NONBTAT023271". Lineage: Eukaryota; Metazoa; Chordata; Mammalia; Artiodactyla; Bovidae. The record is from RNAcentral.